CAAUAGCCGCGGUAAUACGAAGGGUGCAAGCGUUACUCGGAAUUACUGGGCGUAAAGCGUGCGUAGGUGGUGGUUUAAGUCCGUUGUGAAAGCCCUGGGCUCAACCUGGGAAUUGCAGUGGAUACUGGGUCACUAGAGUGUGGUAGAGGAUAGUGGAAUUUCCGGUGUAGCAGUGAAAUGCGUAGAGAUCGGAAGGAACAUCUGUGGCGAAGGCGACUAUCUGGGCCAACACUGACACUGAGGCACGAAAGCGUGGGGAGCAAACAGGAUUAGAUACCCCGGUAGUCCCUGUCUCUUAUAA
This 301-nucleotide ribosomal RNA is filed under the name uncultured bacterium. RNAcentral's name for it is "partial 16S ribosomal RNA". It matches the Rfam family "Bacterial small subunit ribosomal RNA", at positions 509 to 809 of the family's 1533-position model. The record is from RNAcentral.